UGGGGAAUAUUGGACAAUGGGCGAAAGCCUGAUCCAGCAACGCCGCGUGGAGGAUGAAGGUCUUCGGAUUGUAAACUCCUGUCAGAUGGGAAGAACGACUGUCGGCAAAUAGUCGAUAGUCUUGACUGUACCAUCGGAGGAAGCCCCGGCUAACUCUGUGCCAGCAGCCGCGGUAAUACAGAGGGGGCAAGCGUUAUUCGGAAUUAUUGGGCGUAAAGGGCGCGUAGGUGGCCUGGUAAGUCAACGGUGAAAUCCCUCGGCUCAACCGAGGAACUGCCUUUGAUACUGCCAGGCUUGAGGCCGGGAGAGGGUAGCGGAAUUCCCAGUGUAGCGGUGAAAUGCGUAGAUAUUGGGAGGAACACCGGUGGCGAAGGCGGCUACCUGGACCGGUUCUGACACUGAGGCGCGAAAGCGUGGGGAUCAAACAGGAUUAGAUACCCCUGUAGUCCCUGAGCGGGCUGGCAAGGCGCAU
Molecule: ribosomal RNA, 472 nt
Filed under: uncultured bacterium
Lineage: Bacteria
Description: bacterial SSU rRNA
Rfam family: Bacterial small subunit ribosomal RNA
Source: RNAcentral